Molecule: non-coding RNA, 99 nt
Filed under: Aurantiochytrium limacinum
Lineage: Eukaryota; Bigyra; Thraustochytrida; Thraustochytriidae
Source: RNAcentral
AAAAGAAAAAGAAUGAAGAAAAAAAAAUAAACAACACAAUACUGUUUACUCUUUCUUUUUUUCUUUGUGCUGCUUUCCGUUUCUUUUCUUUUCUUUUCU